ACAAUGCGCUGCCUAUACAUGCAGUCGAGCGGACGGAUGGGAGCUUGCUCCCAGACCGUCAGCGGCGGACGGGUGAGUAACACGUGGGCAACCUGCCUGUAAGACUGGGAUAACUCCGGGAAACCGGGGCUAAUACCGGAUAACUCUUUUCCUCACAUGAGGAAAAGCUGAAAGAUGGCAUCUCGCUAUCACUUACAGAUGGGCCCGCGGCGCAUUAGCUAGUUGGUGAGGUAACGGCUCACCAAGGCGACGAUGCGUAGCCGACCUGAGAGGGUGAUCGGCCACACUGGGACUGAGACACGGCCCAGACUCCUACGGGAGGCAGCAGUAGGGAAUCUUCCGCAAUGGACGAAAGUCUGACGGAGCAACGCCGCGUGAGUGAUGAAGGUUUUCGGAUCGUAAAACUCUGUUGUCAGGGAAGAACAAGUACCGGAGUAACUGCCGGUACCUUGACGGUACCUGACCAGAAAGCCACGGCUAACUACGUGCCAGCAGCCGCGGUAAUACGUAGGUGGCAAGCGUUGUCCGGAAUUAUUGGGCGUAAAGCGCGCGCAGGCGGUUCCUUAAGUCUGAUGUGAAAGCCCCCGGCUCAACCGGGGAGGGUCAUUGGAAACUGGGGAACUUGAGUGCAGAAGAGAAGAGUGGAAUUCCACGUGUAGCGGUGAAAUGCGUAGAGAUGUGGAGGAACACCAGUGGCGAAGGCGACUCUUUGGUCUGUAACUGACGCUGAGGCGCGAAAGCGUGGGGAGCAAACAGGAUUAGAUACCCUGGUAGUCCACGCCGUAAACGAUGAGUGCUAAGUGUUAGAGGGUUUCCGCCCUUUAGUGCUGCAGCAAACGCAUUAAGCACUCCGCCUGGGGAGUACGGCCGCAAGGCUGAAACUCAAAGGAAUUGACGGGGGCCCGCACAAGCGGUGGAGCAUGUGGUUUAAUUCGAAGCAACGCGAAGAACCUUACCAGGUCUUGACAUCUCCUGACAACCCUAGAGAUAGGGCGUUCCCCUUCGGGGGACAGGAUGACAGGUGGUGCAUGGUUGUCGUCAGCUCGUGUCGUGAGAUGUUGGGUUAAGUCCCGCAACGAGCGCAACCCUUGAUCUUAGUUGCCAGCAUUCAGUUGGGCACUCUAAGGUGACUGCCGGUGACAAACCGGAGGAAGGUGGGGGAUGAACGUCAAAUCAUCAUGGCCCCUUUUAACCUGGGGGUAACCCCGUGUU
RNAcentral lists this ribosomal RNA (1212 nucleotides) under Cytobacillus firmus. RNAcentral's name for it is "bacterial SSU rRNA". It matches the Rfam family "Bacterial small subunit ribosomal RNA", at positions 39 to 1226 of the family's 1533-position model. The record is from RNAcentral. Lineage: Bacteria; Bacillati; Bacillota; Bacilli; Caryophanales; Bacillaceae.